GAAGAUGUCCCGAUAAGGACGAAAUGCCUGCUCAUAACUUUCUGUUCCUAUUUCAGGGAAACAGUGUCCCAGCUGAAGGAAUGUUUUUGAUAUAUAUGAGGAGAAGGGAUAUCUUUCGAUGUCUUGGGUUGCAUGAUUUAGCAUAUUGAUAGAUGAUGAUUGCUGUCUUUUAUGCUAUAAGAAGUUGUAUGGUUUCUAUGCAGGUUGCUUGAAGGGCCAGUUCUAAAUUUCUGUGCGUGGAAAACGUUAGGUACGCUGAUAAUUCUUUCCUUCCUCAUAAUAAUUAAAAGGGAACUCUUUUAGAUAUUUUAUGCUUUUG
RNAcentral lists this unclassified non-coding RNA (319 nucleotides) under Hevea brasiliensis (rubber tree). The record is from RNAcentral. Lineage: Eukaryota; Viridiplantae; Streptophyta; Magnoliopsida; Malpighiales; Euphorbiaceae.